UUGGUUAUUUGAUCAAACGGCGC
Molecule: non-coding RNA, 23 nt
Filed under: Arabidopsis thaliana (thale cress)
Lineage: Eukaryota; Viridiplantae; Streptophyta; Magnoliopsida; Brassicales; Brassicaceae
Source: RNAcentral